Molecule: long non-coding RNA, 1601 nt
Organism: Exaiptasia diaphana
Lineage: Eukaryota; Metazoa; Cnidaria; Anthozoa; Actiniaria; Aiptasiidae
Exons: 3
Source: RefSeq, a predicted model, not a curated record
AGCAGAGCAUUCGAUUCGUGUCGGUGUAACAAGUAGGAAGAAGGCGAUGUGUUGUUCUCGAAGCUGGUCCAAGUUUUAAGUGAAUCGAACUAUGUGCGAAACRCAACGCGUUUCUACUGAUUGGCUUGACUUUGCUAUCAUUUCCAACAGUUUCUCAAUUGCAUAGAUCAAUUUUCUCUUUACUAGUGAGAUUUACAAAGACUUUGAUAUCCAUCCCAACCUAAUAGACACAAACCGGGACAAAUACAGAGAACACCCAGAAAUACUGCAUUUCUCCAAGAUUAAAAAGUUACAGUCUACUGUGAAACCAGAUUUCAAGUUUCUGGCACUAAAAUGGCUUCCGUUCCUGUUGGUGGACAACUAUAUGCCAGGAUCGUUUCACAAAAGAUACGAUUGGGUGAAAAUCAAAGCGAAGGAGGACAUUCAAUUGCCAAGGCAGCAGAAGCGAUUACCCAGGGAAAUGGCGUUAGUUUAUAUGGCGGUUUAUCCAGUUACUUGCCAUUAGCAAGAUUGUACACAGUUAGCGCUUGUAGCGCUGAGAAGCUGCCAGUCGAUCUUGACAAGGAUUUAAAGUAAAGUGGUUACAAAAAAGACUUUUUGAGGUAUCUCAAGAUCAAUGACAAUGAACCACUAUUUUAGAACUAUAUAUUAUAUAUUUUUGAAAAAAGUCCAACUGCUUGUUUUAAUUUUGUUUGCUUUAGAUACAAAUUAUAAUGUUUGUUGUUUGGGUUAUUUCCACUUAAUAUGUGAUGUAACCAAAUAAGUUUGAGAGUCAACAUUCAUUGUUCGGUUCUACAGACAUACAAAAUUUAAGUCACUUGCAAAAAAAGUUCAAAUAUAUAUUUAUUGAAAAAUGCUGUUGUUUUCUUAUGUUAUACAGCUGAACAAUGCUAAUGGAAUUGACUGUGUGUGUGUUACCAUUYAUUGAGCCAAUAUAGCUUGAAAAAUAUACAAUUUGGCUUGAAAGUUCAAAAAACAAGCUGUGUCACAUAUCUCAAAGACUAUAAAGUAAUGGCUGACUAGGGAUAUUCUUGUUGUUUGACCAUGAACAACACAACUGAAGUUGUGGCUACAGGUAAACAAAAGAAUGUCACAAAGAUAUUUGAACAGAGUCCUGUGGUUACUCAGCUAGAUUAUCAAAAGUCAGCCAUUUCUGUUGUCAGAUUUAAUUUUCAAUUAUUUCGAAUUGUAUUUUCCUCUUUUUUUUCAGAACUGAUGUGAGAAUUGUCAUGUUUCAAUCUUUUAUGUAAAUAUAGUUUAACACUAGUUAUCUUGUUUGUAUGAGAUAUAGACUACGUUUUUAGAUAGACAGCUUUAUACAGUUGCUGUUGUAGUGCCCUGGAUUCCAUAGGUUGGAAUUUACUCUCUCUAGCUCAUAGUUUAUUUCAAGGCUGUUGACAAGCUUACCAUUUUUUGGCUUACAGACUGAAAACUGCUUUUGAUUACACAAACUAUGAGAAAGGGUUUAAUUUCUAACGUCUUGUAUACCCAUGGUACUAGUAUAUACUAAAGCUCAAGUAUUAGAAUCAUAAUUAAAUGAUCCAGACCGUGUGACUUGUACAUCAAAGUGAAGUUUGAAUAAAGUUUGAUUAGCCUGUGUA